GACUUUAUAGCUCAAUGGUAGAGUGCUUCACAGGAAUUGCAGGACCGCAGGUUCAAUUCCUGCUGGAUGGCC
Molecule: non-coding RNA, 72 nt
Organism: Paramuricea clavata
Lineage: Eukaryota; Metazoa; Cnidaria; Anthozoa; Malacalcyonacea; Plexauridae
Source: the annotation of a GenBank genome assembly